UGUUUCGCUAACUGAUUUGUGUCAAUUCAUCGGCCUAACGGGAAUGUUAUAAACAUAAUUAUGUGAAAAGGACAAGAUGGAUAUCGGGCAUUAUAUUGUGAUACAUGGUAAUGUAUGACAUUGUUAUAUAAAUGUGUUUCGGGCGUGAACUCUACAAGGGAGCUGGUCUCAUUUUUUGACACUCUCAGUCGGAAACGACGUGCGAAAGACUGGAAUCGCCUGGACCGUAACAUUGCCCCCUUCCUCGGAGAAGUUCGUCCCGAACGCUAAAACGGUUAUCCAACUCACCUGACUCUGACGUGAUUGACUUUGCCAAUGUUAUCUUCCAUGUGAUGACUGGAAAUAUGGAAAGAACAACUCACUUCUGCAGUGGUAAACGUGGAUAUUAUUGCCACAAGAUUAAUUUUUAUUUUUAUACAGAUUUCGACACGGAUGACAAUGAUUAUGAUGAGGAUGAUGAUGACGACGAUGACGAUAUUGAUGAUAAAAGUAGAUCUUGGAUUAUGGAAACUGGUGUCUUCGUCUUCUCUGGUGAAAUUGGUGAUUUCUCUGACAACACUGGUGUUUUUUCUGACGAAAUUGGUUUUUUCUGUAAAGGAACAGAUGUCUUGUCUGAUGCAGCUGAUGUCUUCUGUACGGUAUCGGGUUCCACUGAUCCGAGAAUGAGAUCUACUGGAAGACGGAUGUUGCGGCCGAAGACCAUUUCACAUGGAGAAACGCCCAGUGAUUCGUGUUUUGCAGAACGAUACGCUGACAUGAGAAGGGAAGAGGAAGAUAAUGGAUUUUUGUUUAAUUGGUCUAUUGGAGCACUUGUGCAAGCCAAAACAUUAAGGUUUUCAUUGGAGGUUUGCUUGUUGGAGCCUCUGGAAGACUUUUUCUAAAUUGGAUAAGUGCUCGUCAAAGGAUUUUGCAAAGAUAAUGAUAUCAUCCAGGGGGACGCGACGAGGAUGCUGACGAAUUGGUGGAGCACAACCAGUAUUAAUCCAAUGCUCAGCUUCAUUGGUGAUGCCUAUAUCAGAUGAAUCUUUGGAAAAGGAGCUACGUGAUGAUUGCUGCAAUGGCUGUCCCUUAUUUAGGGUAUUUAUCAAGUGUUUGGUAGUUUUAUCCAAUGAUGUGAUUGAACCAUUCAAGAUUUUUCCGUUGAUCCAAAACGAAUACUUAGGAGGGUUGUGAGGGUAUGGAAAUCCGUUCUCUGGAUAGUAUUUAAUUCUGACAAGAUUGUCCUGGCGUUUCCAGACAAACUACUGGCUAGUUCCUGAGACAUCACCAUCAACUGAUUCUACCGAGGGCAUAUCCGGAUCAGUGUCUGGGAUAAUUUCGAACUCUGGGGACAAGGAUUUGGUGGCCAUUUUUAUAUUUCGAACCUAGUCACUGCUGCAGUUUAAAAUCAUUUAAAAAAUACAUAAAAUACACUUACGUUUUCUGUUUCAAUCUUUAAAAUUAUCACAGAGUGACCUCCCUUUCCAAACAGACACACUUAUCCAGUCGCUUUGUGAACCAAAUAGAAUGGAAAUGAGUGUUUAUCUUAUUACGUCACGGAUAUUUUCAUUACGUCAAAAUUGUUUUCCUUGGUAUUUACGUCAUUAAAACCAAAAGACUACCGUCAACUAUCGCGAAAGAAAGAAUUCCAAGAAAAAUGUUAAAUAUUUUGGGCUACAAUAUCGAUAAACACCUCCUGUUUAGAAUUUAUCGGACUGUUAUUGUCCAUUUGAUACCGCUUAAAUUUUUCAUUAGCGGCGCUCGAUCGGUAACGCGAUCUCGGCCUCUAAUGAUUUAAGCGGUAUCAAAUGGACAAUAACAGUCCUCUAAAUUCUAAACAGUCGGUGUUUAUCUCCUAAGUCAUAAUAAAAAUAGAAAUAAACAAAUAAAUAUAAACGCAGAUUAUAUACUUUCAUCAAAAAAUUCAAGUUUAAAAAAUGUUCCAUUAUCAAAACUACAAAUACUUAUUACUAUCUAUCUAUCUAUCUAUCUAUCUAUCUAUCUAUCCAAUAAGUAUCUAAUCACGAAAACUGAGCUCACAAUUACACCGUUAAAAUUUAUUUAUCUAUCUAUCUAUCCAAUAAGUAUCUUAUCACGAAAACUGAGCUCACAAUUACACCGUUAAAAUUUUCAAACGAUGAAGUUUGAAAAGCUUAAUUUACUGUAAAUGCCAAAAGUGUAGCUCUUGGUAAAUACAAUUAAUCCCUCUAGACUAUUUGUCAACAUUUUAUUAAUUCGGCAAUAUAACCUCAUGAUCUAGCAGAAGGAUGAUGAAUUUUUCAACAGCAAAUCGUAAAAACUAAAUAGUGUACUAGUCAUAUACAUCUGUCUAUACCUGAAAAACGAAUCAAGCGAUAUUUCAAAAAGACAAAAAACAUAUUGUAUAUGAGCGUAAGGUCACUAUUUUAGCAUACUCCCUGCAGUGUUUAGUUUGAUUAGACCUAAUCCCACUCAACACUGUCGUAAUGAAAGCAAAUUUCUGUUCCAAAUUGUGACUCGUCAAUAGUCCGAUUAAUAACCAAUACCUAACUGCGUAACAAUAUCCUUCUGGUUUAAACAGUUUCAAAUAUGUUAACAUAACGUUACGUCAUGAUUCACGAAAUUUAUUACGCCCAAUUAACCAGUGCAUAGCAGAAUAUUGCAGACAAACUAAUUGCGUGACAAACGAGGUUAUCAACAUGGCUACAAUGUAAACAAUACUGUUUGGAACAAUACUUUUACACCGUUUUUAAUACCUUAAAUCACUGUCCAAAGUUUUAGGGAAGACCCCAGAUUAAAUGAAAGACUUUACUAUAGGAGCGAUUUGAUUGAACGGGAAGAAUAGACACACUCCCCCAAAAACGUAAGUAUCAGAAGUCAAUCCAGCAAUGGCCAGAGCGGCAUUUCUCUGGUUAUUGCUUCAGGAAUAUGCUAUUAUAGUUUCUUUCGGAUAACUGGCUACUAAACCGCAUUUUAUUUGUGCAAAAGACAGGAAAAUGAACAGCUGAUUUCAUCCGCCAUCUUGGAUG
Molecule: long non-coding RNA, 2987 nt
Organism: Patella vulgata (common limpet)
Lineage: Eukaryota; Metazoa; Mollusca; Gastropoda; Patellidae
Exons: 9
Source: RefSeq, a predicted model, not a curated record